AACGCACAUUGCGCCUCCCUUAACCGGGGGGCAUGCCUGUCUGAGCGUCAUUUAAACCUAUGGACCCAAUUGGGUUCCGUAUUGGGCCUCGCCUCUUUAAGCGGCGUCGCCUUGAAGGCAUCGGCCUCAUGGAGUGGACGGGAUCCUUAUGGACUGACCAUUUCAUAGCCAGAUUUUAACUCUGACUUGACCUCAGAUCAGGUAGGGACACCGCCUGAACUUAA
This 224-nucleotide unclassified non-coding RNA is filed under the name uncultured fungus. Its description in RNAcentral is "partial contains 5.8S ribosomal RNA, internal transcribed spacer 2, and large subunit ribosomal RNA". Lineage: Eukaryota; Fungi. The record is from RNAcentral.